UGGGGAAUAUUGGACAAUGGGCGAAAGCCUGAUCCAGCCAUGCCGCGUGUGUGAAGAAGGUCUUCGGAUUGUAAAGCACUUUAAGUUGGGAGGAAGGGCAGUAAGCGAAUACCUUGCUGUUUUGACGUUACCGACAGAAUAAGCACCGGCUAACUCUGUGCCAGCAGCCGCGGUAAUACAGAGGGUGCAAGCGUUAAUCGGAAUUACUGGGCGUAAAGCGCGCGUAGGUGGUUCGUUAAGUUGAAUGUGAAAGCCCCGGGCUCAACCUGGGAACUGCAUCCAAAACUGGCGAGCUAGAGUAGGGCAGAGGGUGGUGGAAUUUCCUGUGUAGCGGUGAAAUGCGUAGAUAUAGGAAGGAACACCAGUGGCGAAGGCAGCCAUCUGGCCUAACACUGACGCUGAGGUGCGAAAGCGUGGGGAGCAAACAGG
Molecule: ribosomal RNA, 429 nt
Filed under: Pseudomonadota bacterium
Lineage: Bacteria; Pseudomonadati; Pseudomonadota
Description: Proteobacteria bacterium partial 16S ribosomal RNA
Rfam family: Bacterial small subunit ribosomal RNA
Source: RNAcentral